GAUGAAGAACGUAGCGAAAUGCGAUAACUAGUGUGAAUUGCAGAUUUCAGUGAAUCAUCGAGUCUUUGAACGCACAUUGCGCCCCCUGGUAUUCCGGGGGGCAUGCCUGUCCGAGCGUCAUUACAACCCUCAAGCUCAGCUUGGUGUUGGGCCCCGCCGCCCCGGCGGGCCCUAAAGUCAGUGGCGGUGCCGUCCGGCUCCGAGCGUAGUAAUUCUUCUCGCUCUGGAGGUCCGGUCGUGUGCUCGCCAGCAACCCCCAAUUUUUUUCAGGUUGACCUCGGAUCAGGUAGGGAUACCCGCUGAACUUAAGCAUAUCAAUAAGCGGAGGA
This 329-nucleotide unclassified non-coding RNA is filed under the name soil metagenome. RNAcentral describes it as "partial contains 5.8S ribosomal RNA, internal transcribed spacer 2, and large subunit ribosomal RNA". The stretch from base 1 to 120 matches the Rfam family "5.8S ribosomal RNA", at positions 35 to 154 of the family's 154-position model. The record is from RNAcentral.